This 484-nucleotide ribosomal RNA is filed under the name uncultured bacterium. RNAcentral's name for it is "partial 16S ribosomal RNA". It matches the Rfam family "Bacterial small subunit ribosomal RNA", at positions 30 to 507 of the family's 1533-position model. The record is from RNAcentral.
AUUGAACGCUGGCGGCAGGCCUAACACAUGCAAGUCGAGCGGAUGAAGGGAGCUUGCUCCUGGAUUCAGCGGCGGACGGGUGAGUAAUGCCUAGGAAUCUGCCUGGUAGUGGGGGAUAACGUCCGGAAACGGGCGCUAAUACCGCAUACGUCCUGAGGGAGAAAGUGGGGGAUCUUCGGACCUCACGCUAUCAGAUGAGCCUAGGUCGGAUUAGCUAGUUGGUGGGGUAAAGGCCUACCAAGGCGACGAUCCGUAACUGGUCUGAGAGGAUGAUCAGUCACACGGGAACUGAGAGACGGUACAGGCUCCUACGGGAGGAAGAAGUGGGGAAUAUUGGACAAUGGGCGAAAGCCUGAUCCAGCCAUGCCGCGUGUGUGAAGAAGGUCUUCGGAUUGUAAAGCACUUUAAGUUGGGAGGAAGGGCAGUAAGUUAAUACCUUGCUGUUUUGACGUUACCAACAGAAUAAGCACCGGCUAACUUCGUG